This is a non-coding RNA of Microcebus murinus (gray mouse lemur), 573 nucleotides long. Lineage: Eukaryota; Metazoa; Chordata; Mammalia; Primates; Cheirogaleidae. The record is from RefSeq and is a predicted model, not a curated record.
GCCGGCGCGCCGCCGUGACGUCACGGCCGGGGUGCCCGCGGCGCCUGUCGGGAGCCUUCCCAGAAGCGCGGGCCGCCAGGGAGAGCGCGCUUCCCCGCCGGGCUUCUGCGGGCGGCCUGGGGCUGCGUGAGGACCGUGACUCGGGGCCCGCUCGCUGGGUCCUGAGUCGGUGCGGGUGCGGGGCAGAGCCCGCCCCGGGGCGAGGGCCGCCUCCCCCAAACUCCACAGGCGGACUCUCUCUUCCCCCUUUCCAUGUGGCUAAAGGAAGCCCUCCUCACAGAGAGAAAACCACACGGGAAGGCUGGGCACUUCAGAAGGAAGAACGAUACAAUGGAUAAGAUAGGAAGAAAUAUAGUAAACUGUCCCUUGCCUCCUGAGUUUUUAAAAAAUCCCAUUUGGUGAUAGAAGCAAAAAUCAUAACACAAAAGUCUUCAACGAAAUGGUAGCAAAUCGAAUCCAGCAAUAUAUAAAAUAAAUACUAUGCCAGAACCAAAGGUGAUUUAUCUAAAGUAUCUGAGGUUCAUCUGAUGUUUGAAAAUCAACCAGUGUGAUCCACCUUAUCAACAGGCUGAA